Molecule: unclassified non-coding RNA, 203 nt
Filed under: soil metagenome
Description: partial contains 5.8S ribosomal RNA, internal transcribed spacer 2, and large subunit ribosomal RNA
Source: RNAcentral
AACGCACGAGACCUGCGGACCUGCGGAGGGAUCAUUACCGAGUUUACAACUCCCAAACCCCUGUGAACAUACCACUCGUUGCCUCGGCGGAUCACCGCGCCCCGUGAAACGGGCCGGCCCGCCAGAGGACCUAAACUCAAAUGUUUUAUUGUAUCUUCUGAGUAAAAACACAAAUAAAUCAAAACUUUUAGCAAUGGAUCUCU